RNAcentral lists this transfer RNA (90 nucleotides) under Salmo salar (Atlantic salmon). It matches the Rfam family "tRNA". Rfam says of the family: Transfer RNA (tRNA) molecules are approximately 80 nucleotides in length. Their secondary structure includes four short double-helical elements and three loops (D, anti-codon, and T loops). Further hydrogen bonds mediate the characteristic L-shaped molecular structure. tRNAs have two regions of fundamental functional importance: the anti-codon, which is responsible for specific mRNA codon recognition, and the 3' end, to which the tRNAs corresponding amino acid is attached (by aminoacyl-tRNA synthetases). tRNAs cope with the degeneracy of the genetic code in two manners: having more than one tRNA (with a specific anti-codon) for a particular amino acid; and 'wobble' base-pairing, i.e. permitting non-standard base-pairing at the 3rd anti-codon position. Lineage: Eukaryota; Metazoa; Chordata; Actinopteri; Salmoniformes; Salmonidae. The record is from Rfam by way of RNAcentral.
CCCUGUGGCUCAGUUGGUAGAGCAUGGUGUUUGCAACGCCAGCAUGGUGUGUGCAACACCAGGGUUGUGGGUUCGAUUCCCACACGGGGC